CUGCUGCUGCUAGUUGAGCAACGGCAGCAGCAGCAACAGCAGCAAUCAGCUGCUGCUGCAAGCUGAGCUGCAGGAGCAGCAAGAAAAGAAAGGAAAGAAAGCAAGAAAAGAAAGAAAAGAAAGAAAGAAAGAAGGAAAGAAAAGAAAGAGAAGAAAGAAAAGAAAGGAAAGAAAGAGAGAUGGAAUGAAAUAAAAGUUGAUUUGCUCGAUAGUUUGAUUUUGACCCCGACAAUGCACUUUUGCAGGAUAAGGGUCCUACCGUGAAAUUGACCGCGUACAAACCUAAUUGAGGGU
RNAcentral lists this long non-coding RNA (294 nucleotides) under Ananas comosus (pineapple). RNAcentral describes it as "long non-coding RNA (ACOM_LNC034056)". Lineage: Eukaryota; Viridiplantae; Streptophyta; Magnoliopsida; Poales; Bromeliaceae. The record is from RNAcentral.